Molecule: long non-coding RNA, 2697 nt
Organism: Cucumis melo (muskmelon)
Lineage: Eukaryota; Viridiplantae; Streptophyta; Magnoliopsida; Cucurbitales; Cucurbitaceae
Exons: 3
Source: RefSeq, a predicted model, not a curated record
AGAGAGAGAGAGAAAAAAAAAAAAAAAAAAAAACAACGGAGACCAAAAUGUAUUUAUUUUUAAGAAAGAGACGAGAAAGGCAAUAUUGUCCCACCAUGCCUUGAAAGUUAAAAUUAUCGACAUGUCGUUUCGGAUGGAGAAUAUUGUCCCACCAUGUUUGGGUUGAAUCUUCAGCCUGAGAGAAGAAACAACCCAAACAACAAGGAUGACACCAAGUAGAAAUGGUGAAGACCCAACUUAGACAAUUUCACGGCAGAAUUAAAGCUUCCGGUGGGAGAAUCGGUGGCGAAAGCGAACACUGCCCAUUGUUCAUAACACCCAAUUCCGAUCGAUGUGAAUUCAGGUUUGCUUAAGUAAUUGGCCAUUUGGGAAUGUGUACAUCCAUGAAGAACAAGAUUCGACACCAACGUUGGGAUGUGAAGGGGCAAAAUCAGGCCAUUUUUUGUGUUGUUGAGCUCGAUGUUGCACCUGGUUAGGUAGUCCGGGAGAUUGGGGAGUUGGGUUAAAUUGCUUGGAGUAAUGUUGGAGCCGCUGGUGAAGAUGCUGAGGGGCAACUGAUCGUCGAAGUCCCAAGCAAUUUGCUUGACGAAGCAGUCUGCUUUUGAGUUCCUAUUCAUGGGGGUAAGUUCUUUGGAACUUCUGUAAAUGUUCAUGGCUUUGAAAAGUGUGUCUUCAUUCACUGCAAAUGAUGGAGGAUUGAGUGUGAGGUUUUAUGUGGCAGCAAUAAGGGAAAUAACGUCUAUGGAUAAGGGAGAACUGUAAUUGUGAGAUUGCAAAAGAACCCAGCAAAGAUAUGGGACUACGGAACUAUGUGUGUGAGAGUGUUUAGAAGCAUAGAAAUAGAUAGAGAGAGCCAUCGCAAUGCACAGAAGAACCCAUCAAAGACUAGGAACUACGGAACUCUUGUGUUUCGUGUGUGUGUGUAUAUUGAGAAAGAGGGAGAGUGAACCAUCACAGUGCACUAAGCUCGCCAAUAGCAACAAGCCAUGGGCAAGACCGCAGAGGUAGAGGCCAAGUUUGGGGGUGGUGAAGGCCAUUGUGCUGCUGUAGGGUAAAGGAGAUGGCAUCAGAUCUGCAUGGACAGGAAGAGUCGAAUAGAAAUAAUUAGUAUUUGAGGUUCUUGCUUUCUUUAGUCUUUUCCUUUUUGUUUCUUCUGCCAUUGGGGCAUCUUAGAAUUUGCUUGUUCUGUUAAUAUUGCUUUGCUUUAUUCAUGAAGGGUAUGGGGUUCCCAUGUCCAACUUUAUGUAUUCAUAAAUGGUAACUAAUGGAGUAAAUGGAAUUAAAGGUGCUCAAGGGACAACUAUUAGUUGCUCAAUCAUUUUGCUUGUAAAGGCGUAUACGUAUAAAAGCCCUCUACUUCAGGUCUAAAAAUCCCAUCUACGUCAGGUAGUCAGGUUUGAAGUUUAAUUCAUCAGUGUACGAAGAUAUGACAAGAAGGCCAGCCAUUCGUCUUUCACUAAAGAGCUGUAAGUUCAACUGACUUUAUCAUACCGUCUAUUUCUUUGAUGAAUGUGCCAGGAAAGGUGACGGAAAAAUCUUAGCUUGAAAAUGUGGAGAAAAGGAUUUGUAAAGAAAAAUAUUUUUGGGCAACUCCAUAAAACUAGUUGGAGAAUUUCAAGUUCUGUUUGCAUGAAUCAUCUAGGAGGAAGCAAACAAUGUAGAAGAGCACAAAGACUGAGGAAACAUUUCAGGAAAGCCAUGGCAGUUUCAAAUCAGCGCUGGGAGCAGAAAUAUGUGUCUGUCAUGAAAAAGCAAACACAAAAAACAAUGAGAAUCAAUCAGUUUGUUUCUCUUAUUUCAUAACCUUCCUUUUCUUUUUCGUUUCUUUUUUGGCUUGUUUGUUAAAUUAUAUCUUCGUUUGUGUGUUUUUUGCCUUGGAAAUGAAGGUAACAAAAUUCCACUCCCUACUGCAAACAUGUGAAACAUGUUGCUGUCCUUGGAACCAGGCAAAAAAGUUAAAAGGAAAAGAAAAAGAACAAGAACACGGCGAAGAAGAAAUGGCUUAUCCUCUUACGAUAUUCAAAUGUGGGAAGGCGAUAUUUGAAUUUUGGAUCAACUUGUUCAUUCAAUUAGAUUUAGUCAUCGGAUUAGCUCGAAUUGGUUGUUUCUGUCCUUGAGGUCCCAUCUGAUCAAUAUUUUGUUCUUUUUUAAAUUUCGAUUGUUUUCUCACCACUUUUCAUGUUUUUCAUAAUCUACCAAAUAUACAUUUAAAUUCUUAGUUAAAUUAUAUUUCUAAUAUGCUUUUAGUUUUCAUGUAGAUGGAAGGGAAGAAUUUUCUUUAUGCCUCUUCAACAUAUUGGCCAAGCAGCAUCAUUGGCUAAAUGUGUGACAUCUCCAUGAAAAUCUUAUUCUUUGAUCUGAAGCAAGAAUGUAAAAUGAGAAGGAAUAGGCUUUCGUAAAGCUAAGCUCUGAGCAUAUCUUGGGAAGCACAUCAAGAAAAAGAGAAAAAAAAAAGAGCUGUACUUGCCUGUUGAAGCAUAUGUUCUUGUUAUUCAUUUAUUUAUUUUCUUUUUAAAAUUCCAACUUUGCUUGAAGGCUCACGUUUGCGAAUUAAAAGAAAAAUGGUAUAUGUCUCUACAUGUUUGAAUUAUUCUGAUGUAUACAAAUUUAGAAACUUCAACUUGAAAACCAAUGUUGAAGGAGAUGAGAGACUGAAUUAGUUUGAGUUAUAGCUAAGAAAUUUAUUGUUUAGUAUUA